RNAcentral lists this ribosomal RNA (490 nucleotides) under uncultured bacterium. RNAcentral describes it as "partial 16S ribosomal RNA". It matches the Rfam family "Bacterial small subunit ribosomal RNA", at positions 29 to 507 of the family's 1533-position model. The record is from RNAcentral.
AAUGAACGCUGGCGGCAUGCCUUACACAUGCAAGUCGAACGGCAGCAUGACCUAGCUUGCUAGGUUGAUGGCGAGUGGCGAACGGGUGAGUAAUGCAUCGGAACGUGCCUUUUAGUGGGGGAUAACGUAGCGAAAGUUACGCUAAUACCGCAUAUUCUCUGAGGAGGAAAGCAGGGGACCUUCGGGCCUUGCGCUAGAAGAGCGGCCGAUGUCGGAUUAGCUAGUUGGCGAGGUAAAGGCUCACCAAGGCAACGAUCCGUAGCGGGUCUGAGAGGAUGAUCCGCUACACUGGGACUGAGACACGGCCCAGACUCCUACGGGAGGCAGCAGUGGGGAAUUUUGGACAAUGGGCGCAAGCCUGAUCCAGCCAUGCCGCGUGAGUGAAGAAGGCCUUCGGGUUGUAAAGCUCUUUCGGCUGGGAAGAAAUCGCACCCUCUAAUACAGGGUGUGGAUGACGGUACCAGCAUAAGAAGCACCGGCUAACUACGUG